CCUACGGGAGGCAGCAGUGAGGAAUAUUGGUCAAUGGGCGCAAGCCUGAACCAGCCAAGUAGCGUGCAGGAUGACGGCCCUACGGGUUGUAAACUGCUUUUAUACGGGAAUAAAGUGACGCACGUGUACGUCUUUGCAUGUACUUUAUGAAUAAGGACCGGCUAACUCCGUGCCAGCAGCCGCGGUAAUACGGAGGGUCCGGGCGUUAUCCGGAUUUAUUGGGUUUAAAGGGAGCGUAGAUGGCUUGUCAAGUCUGAUGUGAAAGUUUGGGGCUCAACCCGGGCAUUGCAGUGGAAACUGGCGGGCUUGAGUACAGGGGAGGUAGGCGGAAUUCGUGGUGUAGCGGUGAAAUGCUUAGAUAUGACGAAGAACCCCGAUUGCGAAGGCAGCUUACUGAACAGUAACUGACGUUGAUGCUCGAAAGCGUGGGUAUCAAACAGGAUUAGAUACCCGUGUAGUC
RNAcentral lists this ribosomal RNA (460 nucleotides) under uncultured bacterium. Its description in RNAcentral is "partial 16S ribosomal RNA". It matches the Rfam family "Bacterial small subunit ribosomal RNA", at positions 338 to 795 of the family's 1533-position model. The record is from RNAcentral.